RNAcentral lists this ribosomal RNA (253 nucleotides) under uncultured bacterium. Its description in RNAcentral is "partial 16S ribosomal RNA". It matches the Rfam family "Bacterial small subunit ribosomal RNA", at positions 524 to 776 of the family's 1533-position model. The record is from RNAcentral.
UACGUAGGGACCGAGCGUUGUCCCGAUUCAUUGGGCGUAAAGAGCACGCAGGCGGUUUGGCAAGACAGAUGUGAAAUCCCCGGGCUCAACCUGGGAACUGCAUUUGUGACUGCAAGGCUAGAGUACGGUAGAGGGGGAUGGAAUUCCGCGUGUAGCAGUGAAAUGCGUAGAUAUGCGGAGGAACACCGAUGGCGAAGGCAAUCCCCUGGACCUGUACUGACGCUCAUGCACGAAAGCGUGGGGAGCAAACAGG